This 373-nucleotide ribosomal RNA is filed under the name uncultured organism. RNAcentral's name for it is "partial 16S ribosomal RNA". It matches the Rfam family "Bacterial small subunit ribosomal RNA", at positions 527 to 896 of the family's 1533-position model. The record is from RNAcentral.
GUAGGUGGCAAGCGUUGUCCGGAAUUAUUGGGCGUAAAGCGCGCGCAGGCGGUCCUUUAAGUCUGAUGUGAAAGCCCACGGCUCAACCGUGGAGGGUCAUUGGAAACUGGGGACUUGAGUACAGAAGAGGAAAGCGGAAUUCCAAGUGUAGCGGUGAAAUGCGUAGAGAUUUGGAGGAACACCAGUGGCGAAGGCGGCUUUCUGGUCUGUAACUGACGCUGAGGCGCGAAAGCGUGGGGAGCAAACAGGGAUUAGAUACCCUGGUAGUCCACGCCGUAAACGAUGAGUGCUAAGUGUUAGGGGGUUUCCCGCCCCUUAGUGCUGCAGCUAACGCAUUAAGCACUCCGCCUGGGGAGUACGGCCCGCAAGGCUG